Molecule: small nuclear RNA, 104 nt
Organism: Tupaia belangeri (northern tree shrew)
Lineage: Eukaryota; Metazoa; Chordata; Mammalia; Scandentia; Tupaiidae
Source: Ensembl
AUGCUCACUUCAGCAGCACAUAUACUAAAAUUUAAACAAUACAGAGAUUAGCAUGGCCCCUGCACGAGGAUAAUAUGCAAAUUCAUAACACAUUCCAUAUUUUU